UACGGGGGGGGCAAGCGUUGUUCGGAAUUACUGGGCGUAAAGCGUGCGUAGGUGGUGAGUUAAGUCUGAUGUGAAAUCCCCGGGCUCAACCUGGGAAUGGCAUUGGAUACUGGCUCGCUAGAGUGCGGUAGAGGGUGGUGGAAUUCCCGGUGUAGCAGUGAAAUGCGUAGAGAUCGGGAGGAACAUCUGUGGCGAAGGCGGCCACCUGGACCAACACUGACACUGAGGCACGAAAGCGUGGGGAGCAAACAGG
Molecule: ribosomal RNA, 253 nt
Filed under: uncultured bacterium
Lineage: Bacteria
Description: partial 16S ribosomal RNA
Rfam family: Bacterial small subunit ribosomal RNA
Source: RNAcentral